GUGAGGAAUAUUGCGCAAUGGAGGAAACUCUGACGCAGCGACGCCGCGUGAAGGAUGAAGGCCCUCUGGGUUGUAAACUUCUGUAGAGAGGGAAGAAUUUUUCGCUUCGCGAAAUUGACGGUACCUCUAAAGUAAGGGUCGGCUAACUACGUGCCAGCAGCCGCGGUAAUACGUAGGACCCAAGCGUUGUCCGGAUUUACUGGGUGUAAAGGGAGCGCAGGCGGAUUUUCAAGUCGAUGGUGAAAUCUUGCGGCUCAACCGCAAAACAGCCGUCGAUACUGUUAAUCUUGAGUGUGGAAGAGAGUGGCGGAAUUCAUGGUGUAGCAGUGAAAUGCGUAGAUAUCAUGAAGAACACCGGUUGCGAAGGCGGCCACUUAGUCCAUUACUGACGCUCAUGCUCGAAAGCGUGGGGAUCAAACAGGAUUAGAAACCCGGGUAGUCC
Molecule: ribosomal RNA, 442 nt
Filed under: uncultured bacterium
Lineage: Bacteria
Description: bacterial SSU rRNA
Rfam family: Bacterial small subunit ribosomal RNA
Source: RNAcentral